Molecule: small nuclear RNA, 23 nt
Filed under: Arabidopsis thaliana (thale cress)
Lineage: Eukaryota; Viridiplantae; Streptophyta; Magnoliopsida; Brassicales; Brassicaceae
Description: snRNA_10692
Source: RNAcentral
GUCAGACUUAUUUACAUAUAUCU